CCUACGUGAGGCAGCAGUAGGGAAUAUUGCUCAAUGGGGGAAACCCUGAAGCAGCAACGCCGCGUGGAGGAUGAAGGUUUUCGGAUUGUAAACUCCUUUUGUUAGAGAAGAUAAUGACGGUAUCUCACGAAUAAGCACCGGCUAACUACGGGCCAGCAGCCGCGGUAAUAAGGAGGGUGCAAGCGUUACUCGGCAUCACUAGGCGUAAAGAGCGCGUAGGCGGGAUAGCAAGUCAGAUGUGAAAUCCUAUGGCUUAACCAUAGAACUGCAUUUGAAACUGUUAUUCUAGAGUAUGGGAGAGGUAGGUGGAAUUCUUGGUGUAGGGGUAAAAUGCGUAGAGAGAAGGAGGAAUACUCAUGGCGAAGGCGACCUGCUAGAACAUAACUGACGCUGAUGCGCGAAAGCGUGGGGAGCAAACAGGAUUAGAUACCCCUGUAGUC
RNAcentral lists this ribosomal RNA (440 nucleotides) under uncultured bacterium. RNAcentral describes it as "partial 16S ribosomal RNA". It matches the Rfam family "Bacterial small subunit ribosomal RNA", at positions 338 to 795 of the family's 1533-position model. The record is from RNAcentral.